This 369-nucleotide long non-coding RNA is filed under the name Salmo salar (Atlantic salmon). Its description in RNAcentral is "lncRNA (ENSSSAG00000086855.1)". The record is from RNAcentral. Lineage: Eukaryota; Metazoa; Chordata; Actinopteri; Salmoniformes; Salmonidae.
UGUUAGAAGAGAAUGACUCCUCAACCCAAGAGGCCCUGGAGCAGCUGUGAUCAGGUUAGAAGAGAAUGACUCCUCAACCCAAGAGGCCCUGGAGCAGCUGUGAUCAGGUUAGAAGAGAAUGACUCCUCAACCCAAGAGGCCCUGGAGCAGCUGUGAUCAGGUUAGAAGAGAAUGACUCCUCAACCCAAGAGGCCCUGGAGCAGCUGUGAGAGAGCAGCAGUGUUGAAGCAUUUGGGGAAAUUUAAAGAAGGUUUCCUGGAAAAGAGGAUUGACUGUUACGUAAAGGGUCAGAGCCACUGAUUGGACAAAAUAUUAAGGAUACCUUCCUAAUAUUGAGUUACGCCUGGUCAGUUUGUCAUGGAAAGAAAG